Molecule: transfer RNA, 68 nt
Filed under: Opimothrips tubulatus
Lineage: Eukaryota; Metazoa; Arthropoda; Insecta; Thysanoptera; Thripidae
Description: tRNA-Leu
Source: RNAcentral
UCUACUUUGACAGAAAAUGUGUUAAGCUUAGAACUUAAAGAUAUAAGUAUAAAAAUUUAUAAGUAGAU